This 816-nucleotide ribosomal RNA is filed under the name Bacillus zhangzhouensis. RNAcentral describes it as "bacterial SSU rRNA". It matches the Rfam family "Bacterial small subunit ribosomal RNA", at positions 56 to 854 of the family's 1533-position model. The record is from RNAcentral. Lineage: Bacteria; Bacillati; Bacillota; Bacilli; Caryophanales; Bacillaceae.
UGCAAGUCGAGCGNACAGAAGGGAGCUUGCUCCCGGAUGUUAGCGGCGGACGGGUGAGUAACACGUGGGUAACCUGCCUGUAAGACUGGGAUAACUCCGGGAAACCGGAGCUAAUACCGGAUAGUUCCUUGAACCGCAUGGUUCAAGGAUGAAAGACGGUUUCGGCUGUCACUUACAGAUGGACCCGCGGCGCAUUAGCUAGUUGGUGGGGUAAUGGCUCACCAAGGCGACGAUGCGUAGCCGACCUGAGAGGGUGAUCGGCCACACUGGGACUGAGACACGGCCCAGACUCCUACGGGAGGCAGCAGUAGGGAAUCUUCCGCAAUGGACGAAAGUCUGACGGAGCAACGCCGCGUGAGUGAUGAAGGUUUUCGGAUCGUAAAGCUCUGUUGUUAGGGAAGAACAAGUGCGAGAGUAACUGCUCGCACCUUGACGGUACCUAACCAGAAAGCCACGGCUAACUACGUGCCAGCAGCCGCGGUAAUACGUAGGUGGCAAGCGUUGUCCGGAAUUAUUGGGCGUAAAGGGCUCGCAGGCGGUUUCUUAAGUCUGAUGUGAAAGCCCCCGGCUCAACCGGGGAGGGUCAUUGGAAACUGGGAAACUUGAGUGCAGAAGAGGAGAGUGGAAUUCCACGUGUAGCGGUGAAAUGCGUAGAGAUGUGGAGGAACACCAGUGGCGAAGGCGACUCUCUGGUCUGUAACUGACGCUGAGGAGCGAAAGCGUGGGGAGCGAACAGGAUUAGAUACCCUGGUAGUCCACGCCGUAAACGAUGAGUGCUAAGUGUUAGGGGGUUUCCGCCCCUUAGUGCUGCAGCUA